This 355-nucleotide ribosomal RNA is filed under the name uncultured bacterium. RNAcentral's name for it is "partial 16S ribosomal RNA". It matches the Rfam family "Bacterial small subunit ribosomal RNA", at positions 338 to 690 of the family's 1533-position model. The record is from RNAcentral.
CCUACGGGUGGCAGCAGUGGGGAAUAUUGCGCAAUGGGCGAAAGCCUGACGCAGCGACGCCGCGUGAGGGAUGACUGCCCUACGGGUUGUAAACUUCUUUUAUAAAGGAAUAAAGUGAGGCACGUGUGCCUUUUUGUAUGUACGUUAUGAAUAAGGAUCGGCUAACUCCGUGCCAGCAGCCGCGGUAAUACGGAGGAUCCGAGCGUUAUCCGGAUUUAUUGGGUUUAAAGGGAGCGUAGAGGGGUUGUUAAGUCAGUUGUGAAAGUUUGCGGCUCAACCGUAAAAUUGCAAUUGAUACUGGCAGCCUUGAGUACAGUUGAGGUCGGCGGCAUUCGUGGUGUAGCGGUGAAAUGCU